RNAcentral lists this long non-coding RNA (265 nucleotides) under Elaeis guineensis (African oil palm). RNAcentral describes it as "long non-coding RNA (EGUI_LNC062183)". Lineage: Eukaryota; Viridiplantae; Streptophyta; Magnoliopsida; Arecales; Arecaceae. The record is from RNAcentral.
AUCAAAUUUUUAACCCAAUUAAAAAUUAGUCAAGUCAAAACUCUGAUCGAAUCAGGAUCAAAUUUUUCUUGUAAUCAGACUCUAUCAUAUCAAACCCAAUCAGAGUCGAAUUGAAUCUAAUUCAAUUAGACUUGUUCCAAAGCUCUUUACUCAAUUAAAUUGAGUCAAUUAGUAAUCUAAUUACUAAUAAAUUAUUCAAAAAAUAAUAGAAUUUCAGUCUUAGUGGGACUCUCCUCCAAAGUCCUAAUCCGAGUAGGACUCUUCA